GAUGAACGCUGGCGGCGUGCCUAAUACAUGCAAGUCGAGCGAACGGACGAGAAGCUUGCUUCUCUGAUGUUAGCGGCGGACGGGUGAGUAACACGUGGAUAACCUACCUAUAAGACUGGGAUAACUUCGGGAAACCGGAGCUAAUACCGGAUAAUAUUUUGAACCGCAUGGUUCAAAAGUGAAAGACGGUCUUGCUGUCGCUUAUAGAUGGAUCCGCGCUGCAUUAGCUAGUUGGUAAGGUAACGGCUUACCAAGGCAACGAUGCAUAGCCGACCUGAGAGGGUGAUCGGCCACACUGGAACUGAGACACGGUCCAGACUCCUACGGGAGGCAGCAGUAGGGAAUCUUCCGCAAUGGGCGAAAGCCUGACGGAGCAACGCCGCGUGAGUGAUGAAGGUCUUCGGAUCGUAAAACUCUGUUAUUAGGGAAGAACAUAUGUGUAAGUAACUGUGCACAUCUUGACGGUACCUAAUCAGAAAGCCACGGCUAACUACGUGCCAGCAGCCGCGGUAAUACGUAGGUGGCAAGCGUUAUCCGGAAUUAUUGGGCGUAAAGCGCGCGUAGGCGGUUUUUUAAGUCUGAUGUGAAAGCCCACGGCUCAACCGUGGAGGGUCAUUGGAAACUGGAAAACUUGAGUGCAGAAGAGGAAAGUGGAAUUCCAUGUGUAGCGGUGAAAUGCGCAGAGAUAUGGAGGAACACCAGUGGCGAAGGCGACUUUCUGGUCUGUAACUGACGCUGAUGUGCGAAAGCGUGGGGAUCAAACAGGAUUAGAUACCCUGGUAGUCCACGCCGUAAACGAUGAGUGCUAAGUGUUAGGGGGUUUCCGCCCCUUAGUGCUGCAGCUAACGCAUUAAGCACUCCGCCUGGGGAGUACGACCGCAAGGUUGAAACUCAAAGGAAUUGACGGGGACCCGCACAAGCGGUGGAGCAUGUGGUUUAAUUCGAAGCAACGCGAAGAACCUUACCAAAUCUUGACAUCCUUUGACAACUCUAGAGAUAGAGCCUUCCCCUUCGGGGGGGCAAAGUGACAGGUGGUGCAUGGUUGUCGUCAGCUCGUGUCGUGAGAUGUUGGGUUAAGUCCCGCAACGAGCGCAACCCUUAAGCUUAGUUGCCAUCAUUAAGUUGGGCACUCUAAGUUGACUGCCGGUGACAAACCGGAGGAAGGUGGGGAUGACGUCAAAUCAUCAUGCCCCUUAUGAUUUGGGCUACACACGUGCUACAAUGGACAAUACAAAGGGCAGCGAAACCGCGAGGUCAAGCAAAUCCCAUAAAGUUGUUCUCAGUUCGGAUUGUAGUCUGCAACUCGACUACAUGAAGCUGGAAUCGCUAGUAAUCGUAGAUCAGCAUGCUACGGUGAAUACGUUCCCGGGUCU
RNAcentral lists this ribosomal RNA (1373 nucleotides) under uncultured bacterium. RNAcentral's name for it is "bacterial SSU rRNA". It matches the Rfam family "Bacterial small subunit ribosomal RNA", at positions 28 to 1381 of the family's 1533-position model. The record is from RNAcentral.